AACGAACGCUGGCGGCGUGGAUAAGACAUGCAAGUCGAACGGGACUAAAUCUGUAGCAAUACAGGUUUAGUUUAGUGGCGAACGGGUGCGUAACACGUGGGCAAUCUGCCGAGAAGUGGGGGAGUAGCUCGCCGAAAGGACGAAUUAAUACCGCAUAUGAUCAGUGAAGACAUCUUCACGACAUCAAAGACCGGGGCGAACCUGGCGCUUCUUGAUGAGCCCGCCGGCCUAUCAGCUAGUUGGUGAGGUAACGGCUCACCAAGGCUAUGACGGGUAGCUGGUCUGAGAGGACGACCAGUCACACUGGAACUGAGACACGGUCCAGACACCUACGGGUGGCAGCAGUCGAGAAUUUUUCUCAAUGGGGGCAACCCUGAAGGAGCGA
This 385-nucleotide ribosomal RNA is filed under the name uncultured bacterium. RNAcentral describes it as "bacterial SSU rRNA". It matches the Rfam family "Bacterial small subunit ribosomal RNA", at positions 29 to 394 of the family's 1533-position model. The record is from RNAcentral.